RNAcentral lists this transfer RNA (83 nucleotides) under Candidatus Hydrogenedentes bacterium CG1_02_42_14. Its description in RNAcentral is "tRNA-Leu". It matches the Rfam family "tRNA". Rfam says of the family: Transfer RNA (tRNA) molecules are approximately 80 nucleotides in length. Their secondary structure includes four short double-helical elements and three loops (D, anti-codon, and T loops). Further hydrogen bonds mediate the characteristic L-shaped molecular structure. tRNAs have two regions of fundamental functional importance: the anti-codon, which is responsible for specific mRNA codon recognition, and the 3' end, to which the tRNAs corresponding amino acid is attached (by aminoacyl-tRNA synthetases). tRNAs cope with the degeneracy of the genetic code in two manners: having more than one tRNA (with a specific anti-codon) for a particular amino acid; and 'wobble' base-pairing, i.e. permitting non-standard base-pairing at the 3rd anti-codon position. Lineage: Bacteria; Pseudomonadati; Candidatus Hydrogenedentota. The record is from RNAcentral. RNAcentral also lists the same sequence under 1 other name.
GCCCGGGUGGCGGAAUGGCAUACGCAGGGGACUUAAAAUCCCCCGCCCGUACGGGUAUGUGGGUUCAACUCCCACCCCGGGCA